GACAGAGGUGCCGAGCGUUAGGCGGAAUCACUGGGCUUAAAGCGUGUGUAGGCGGAGGCCUAAGUACCUUGUGAAAUCCCACGGCUUAACCGUGGAACUGCUUGGUAUACUGGGUCUCUUGAGCCAUCCAGGGGCUACUGGAACAAACGGUGGAGCGGUGAAAUGCGUAGAGAUCGGAAAGAACACCAACGGCGAAAGCACUCUGCUGGGCCGACACUGACACUGAGAGACGAGAGCUAGGGGAGCGAAUGGG
This 253-nucleotide ribosomal RNA is filed under the name uncultured bacterium. Its description in RNAcentral is "partial 16S ribosomal RNA". It matches the Rfam family "Bacterial small subunit ribosomal RNA", at positions 524 to 776 of the family's 1533-position model. The record is from RNAcentral.